CACCACUGACGACUCCCUCCAUCCCUGCCUCAGCAUCUGUGAGGAUACAAGAGCAAGAGCAGCUCUACCUGCGGUCUGGUGUGGUUUCCUCUGCGACCUUUGAGCAGCCAGGUCGGCAGGUCAAGCUGUGGGUGAAGAUGGUGACCCCGCUGAUCAAGAACUUCUUUUGAGAACAGGAAUGGCCUUGAUGAAGAUGACGGGCAUGACUGGGGUCAGAUCCUUCAGCUUUGCUUCAGCAAUGACUCCGGUCUGGGUGUCCCAGCGAGCUCCUGUGGGGACAAUGGAGCUGAGGGUCUGGGUGCCCCAGGGGAGGCAGAACCCACUGUUUGGAGUGCUGACUGUGAAAAAGGGAGGCACGGUAGGGAGAGAG
RNAcentral lists this long non-coding RNA (370 nucleotides) under Rattus norvegicus (Norway rat). RNAcentral's name for it is "long non-coding RNA NONRATT005115". The record is from RNAcentral. Lineage: Eukaryota; Metazoa; Chordata; Mammalia; Rodentia; Muridae.